UGCUAAAAUACAUCAAUGUGUGUGAAAUUCGUUGUCAUUGCUUUUGUUUUGAACAUCAUAUUCGUGCCUGCCGGUGGAAAAAUUAGAGCGACAUACGGACAAGGAAGAUGAUCAUCGUUUAAACAAAUGGUUUAUUUUCUUGUACAAGCAGCCGUGGCCCGAGCAGCGCAAAUCGUGGCAGCGAAUUAUAAGUAAUAAGGGAAAUAAUAGUGCGAUAAGAAACUGGAGCUCGGGGAAAACUAUAAUUUACGUCUCUACGCAGCACGUACGCAUGUCUGCAGCUACUGGCAGAGGCCCACAGGCACUCGUAAAAAUUGGCCACUAUUUACUGGACACAAGGUAGCAGUAAAGAUAUUGGACCUCAUGCAUUAAAUGUGAGUUUAAGCUCCAACUCGAUUUUCAGUACAAAUUCUUGAGCUUAAGCUCACCCCUUUAGUGCAAAAAUUGAGUCUGACCUUAGACUCAUUUUUUAUGCAUGAGGCCCAUUAAAUCGCAUAAAUUGGUUGAAAUGGUUGGAAGUGGACCAACAACUUGCUGCCUUCUCGUCAAUUUGGUUAAGUUGUGUUGACUAACUCCGGAGGCAUUAUGGAUCUUGAGGAGGCCAGACGGUAACAUUUGGGAGGCAAAAUGCUAGGAUUCUUGUUCUAAGCUGGGCACUGGGUAUUCACACUUUUGUUAGUGUAUUGAAGCUAUUGCAGCUGGCAAGAGCAACAUGUUUAUAUUA
Rhagoletis pomonella (apple maggot) is the source of this 724-nucleotide long non-coding RNA. RefSeq lists it as uncharacterized. The transcript is spliced from 3 exons. NCBI's taxonomy places the organism in Eukaryota, Metazoa, Arthropoda, Insecta, Diptera, Tephritidae. The record is from RefSeq and is a predicted model, not a curated record.